GCAUAUCAAUAAGCGGAGGAAAAGAAACUAACAAGGAUUCCCCUAGUAGCGGCGAGCGAAGCGGGAAGAGCUCAAAUUUAUAAUCUGGCACCUUCGGUGUCCGAGUUGUAAUCUCUAGAAGUGUUUUCCGCGUUGGACCGCACACAAGUCUGUUGGAAUACAGCGGCAUAGUGGUGAAACCCCCGUAUAUGGUGCGGACGCCCAGCGCUUUGUGAUACACUUUCAAUGAGUCGAGUUGUUUGGGAAUGCAGCUCAAAUUGGGUGGUAAAUUCCAUCUAAAGCUAAAUAUUGGCGAGAGACCGAUAGCGAACAAGUACCGUGAGGGAAAGAUGAAAAGCACUUUGGAAAGAGAGUUAACAGUACGUGAAAUUGUUGGAAGGGAAACGCUUGAAGUCAGACUUGCUUGCCGGAGCUUGCUUCGGUUUGCAGGCCAGCAUCAGUUUUCCGGGGUGGAUAAUGACGGUUUGAAGGUAGCAGUCUCGGCUGUGUUAUAGCUUUCCGUUGGAUACAUCCUGGGGGACUGAGGAACGCAGCGUGCUUUUUGCGAAAGACUCGUCUUUUUCACGCUUAGGAUGCUGGUGGAAUGGCUUUAAACGACCCGUCUUGAAACACGGACCAAGGAGUCUAACAUGCUCGCGAGUAUUUGGGUGUCAAACCCGGAUGCGCAAUGAAAGUGAAUGUAGGUGGGAACCGCAAGGUGCACCAUCGACCGAUCUGGAUUUUUUAAGAUGGAUUUGAGUAAGAGCGCGUAUGUUGGGACCCGAAAGAUGGUGAACUAUGCCUGAAUAGGGCGAAGCCAGAGGAAACUCUGGUGGAGGCUCGUAGCGGUUCUGACGUGCAAAUCGAUCGUCAAAUUUGGGUAUAGGGGCGAAAGACUAAUCG
This 882-nucleotide ribosomal RNA is filed under the name Rhodotorula diobovata. RNAcentral describes it as "LSU rRNA". It matches the Rfam family "Eukaryotic large subunit ribosomal RNA", at positions 38 to 937 of the family's 3401-position model. The record is from RNAcentral. Lineage: Eukaryota; Fungi; Basidiomycota; Microbotryomycetes; Sporidiobolales; Sporidiobolaceae.